GAUGAACGCUGGCGGCGUGCCUAAUACAUGCCAGUCGAGCGAACAGACGAGGAGCUUGCUCCUCUGACGUUAGCGGCGGACGGGUGAGUAACACGUGGAUAACCUACCUAUAAGACUGGGAUAACUUCGGGAAACCGGAGCUAGUACCGGAUAAUAUAUUGAACCGCAUGGUUCAAUAGUGAAAGACGGUUUUGCUGUCACUUAUAGAUGGAUCCGCGCCGCAUUAGCUAGUUGGUAAGGUAACGGCUUACCAAGGCAACGAUGCGUAGCCGACCUGAGAGGGUGAUCGGCCACACUGGAACUGAGACACGGUCCAGACUCCUACGGGAGGCAGCAGUAGGGAAUCUUCCGCAAUGGGCGAAAGCCGGACGUAGCAACGCCGCGUGAGUGAUGAAGGUCUUCGGAUCGUAAAACUCUGUUAUUAGGGAAGAACAAAUGUGUAAGUAACUAUGCACGUCUUGACGGUACCUAAUCAGAAAGCCACGGCUAACUACGUG
This 497-nucleotide ribosomal RNA is filed under the name uncultured bacterium. RNAcentral describes it as "partial 16S ribosomal RNA". It matches the Rfam family "Bacterial small subunit ribosomal RNA", at positions 28 to 507 of the family's 1533-position model. The record is from RNAcentral.